Molecule: ribosomal RNA, 475 nt
Filed under: uncultured organism
Description: partial 16S ribosomal RNA
Rfam family: Bacterial small subunit ribosomal RNA
Source: RNAcentral
CACUCCUGCGGGAGGCAGCAGUGGGGAAUUUUGGACAAUGGGGGCAACCCUGAUCCAGCAAUGCCGCGUGAGUGAAGAAGGCCUUCGGGUUGUAAAGCUCUUUUGUCAGGGAAGAAACGGUGGUGGCGAAUAACUACUACUAAUGACGGUACCUGAAGAAUAAGCACCGGCUAACUACGUGCCAGCAGCCGCGGUACUACGUAGGGUGCAAGCGUUAAUCGGAAUUACUGGGCGUAAAGCGUGCGCAGGCGGUUGUGUAAGUCAGAUGUGAAAUCCCCGGGCUCAACCUGGGAAUUGCAUUUGAGACUGCACGGCUAGAGUGUGUCAGAGGGGGGUAGAAUUCCACGUGUAGCAGUGAAAUGCGUAGAUAUGUGGAGGAAUACCGAUGGCGAAGGCAGCCCCCUGGGAUAACACUGACGCUCAUGCACGAAAGCGUGGGGAGCAAACAGGAUUAGAAACCCGUGUAGUCCCAUGA